Molecule: ribosomal RNA, 255 nt
Filed under: uncultured bacterium
Lineage: Bacteria
Description: partial 16S ribosomal RNA
Rfam family: Bacterial small subunit ribosomal RNA
Source: RNAcentral
UACGUAGGUGGCAAGCGUUGUCCGGAAUUAUUGGGCGUAAAGCGCGCGCAGGCGGCCUCUUAAGUCUGAUGUGAAAGCCCCCGGCUCAACCGGGGGAGGGCCAUUGGAAACUGGGAGGCUUGAGUAUAGGAGAGAAGAGUGGAAUUCCACGUGUAGCAGUGAAAUGCGUAGAGAUGUGGAGGAACACCAGUGGCGAAGGCGACUCUUUGGCCUAUAACUGACGCUGAGGCGCGAAAGCGUGGGGGAGCAAACAGG